AAUCAUUUAGCUUAAUAGAAAAAGCCUUUGUUUUGAAAACAUAAGAUAAAUAUAAUUUAAUGAUUU
Molecule: transfer RNA, 66 nt
Filed under: Cypridopsis vidua
Lineage: Eukaryota; Metazoa; Arthropoda; Ostracoda; Podocopida; Cyprididae
Description: tRNA-Ser
Rfam family: tRNA
About the family: Transfer RNA (tRNA) molecules are approximately 80 nucleotides in length. Their secondary structure includes four short double-helical elements and three loops (D, anti-codon, and T loops). Further hydrogen bonds mediate the characteristic L-shaped molecular structure. tRNAs have two regions of fundamental functional importance: the anti-codon, which is responsible for specific mRNA codon recognition, and the 3' end, to which the tRNAs corresponding amino acid is attached (by aminoacyl-tRNA synthetases). tRNAs cope with the degeneracy of the genetic code in two manners: having more than one tRNA (with a specific anti-codon) for a particular amino acid; and 'wobble' base-pairing, i.e. permitting non-standard base-pairing at the 3rd anti-codon position.
Source: RNAcentral